GGGUUGUGGCUCAGUGGUAGAGUGCUUGCCUAGCAUGUGUGAGGCACUGGGUUCAAUUCUCAGCACUGCACA
Molecule: transfer RNA, 72 nt
Filed under: Marmota monax (woodchuck)
Lineage: Eukaryota; Metazoa; Chordata; Mammalia; Rodentia; Sciuridae
Description: tRNA.Ala
Rfam family: tRNA (bases 5-65)
About the family: Transfer RNA (tRNA) molecules are approximately 80 nucleotides in length. Their secondary structure includes four short double-helical elements and three loops (D, anti-codon, and T loops).
Source: RNAcentral